This 253-nucleotide ribosomal RNA is filed under the name uncultured bacterium. RNAcentral's name for it is "partial 16S ribosomal RNA". It matches the Rfam family "Bacterial small subunit ribosomal RNA", at positions 524 to 776 of the family's 1533-position model. The record is from RNAcentral.
GACGAACCGUGCGAACGUUGUUCGGAAUCACUGGGCGUAAAGGGCGCGUAGGUGGCGCAACAAGUCAACGGUGAAAGCUCGGCGCUCAACGCCGAGUCGGCCGUCGAUACUGUUGGGCUGGAGCACUGUAGAGGCAGAUGGAAUUCCGGGUGUAGCGGUGGAAUGCGUAGAGAUCCGGAAGAACACCGGUGGCGAAGGCGGCCUGCUGGGCAGUAGCUGACGCUGAGGCGCGACAGCGUGGGGAGCAAACAGG